This 65-nucleotide transfer RNA is filed under the name Anaka burmensis. RNAcentral's name for it is "tRNA-His". The record is from RNAcentral. Lineage: Eukaryota; Metazoa; Arthropoda; Insecta; Hemiptera; Cicadellidae.
AUUUAAGUAGUUUAACAUAAAAUAUGAAUUUGUGGUAUUCAAGAAAUUAAUUAAUCUUAAAUAUU